UACCUACGGGGGGCAGCAGUAGGGAAUCUUCCACAAUGGGCGAAAGUCUGACGGAGCAACGCCGCGUGAGUGAAGAAGGUUUUCGGAUCGUAAAACUCUGUUGUUAGAGAAGAACAAGUGCUAGAGUAACUGUUAGCGCCUUGACGGUAUCUAACCAGAAAGCCACGGCUAACUACGUGCCAGCAGCCGCGGUAAUACGUAGGUGGCAAGCGUUGUCCGGAUUUAUUGGGCGUAAAGAGAGCGCAGGCGGUUCUUUAAG
Molecule: ribosomal RNA, 259 nt
Filed under: uncultured bacterium
Lineage: Bacteria
Description: partial 16S ribosomal RNA
Rfam family: Bacterial small subunit ribosomal RNA
Source: RNAcentral